UCGCACCUACCGAUUGGAUGGUCCGGUGAAGCCUCGGGAUUGUGGUUGUGCUGCUUUAUUGUGGUGCGACCGCGAGAACUUGUCUAAACCUUAUCAUCUAGAGGAAGGUG
This 110-nucleotide ribosomal RNA is filed under the name uncultured eukaryote. RNAcentral describes it as "partial small subunit ribosomal RNA". It matches the Rfam family "Eukaryotic small subunit ribosomal RNA", at positions 1676 to 1785 of the family's 1831-position model. The record is from RNAcentral.